GUUGUUCAAUACUUUAUAUUUACAGAGUGUGAAAUAGAAAUGCCCAAACAUGGAUACUUACCCAAAAUAUUGUCAAAGGAAUAUGGAAAUAGAAAAUAGCACCAUUUUUGAAAAACUUUGAGCUGAUUAUUCUAAAGAUUGAGAUUAACAAUACUGUAAUCUUCACUAAAGAUAAAGGCACAAAGCCUGAAAUUUGGUGGAAGAGAGCCAGUCAAUUAGAUCAACCCAGUAUGCAACUGGUACUUAAUUUAUCAACCCUGAAAGGAUGAAAGGCAAAGUUGACCUCAGCGGAAUUUGAACUCAGAAAGCAAAGCAUUUCGCCUGACGUGCUAACAAUUCUGCCAGCUCACCACCUUUACUUUUUUUUUUAAAUAAAAAAUAUAAUAAAAUUUGUCAUAAUUUUUGCUGAAAUCAUAACUGUGGAUCACUAGAUGCAAGACAAAGGGAAAAAUGCACAUACACACUGAUACACACACACAUCAUCAUCACCAUUUUAUGUCUGUUUUCCAUGCUGGUACGGGUUGGAUGGUUUGACUGAAACUGGCAAGUUGAAGGAUUGCACCAGGCUCUGUUGGCUGUUCUGGUAUGGUUUCUAUGGCUGGAUGCCCUUCCUAAUGCCAACUACUUUACAGAAUGUACUGUGUGCUUUUUUGUGGCACCAACACCAGUGGUUUUAAUGUGGCACAUAUGUAUAUAUUUAUGUAUUUGUUAUCAAUGGAUGGACAAAUUAAACAUUUUAUGCCUUUAUGUGGUGUUUCGGUUUGGUUUGGAAUGGAUUACCUUAAGUUAUAUGUACUUCAAUUGUAAAAUUUGAUUAAUGAACAGUGCUCUGAAAUAGAUUAUGCUCAUACAUGGAGAUCCCACUGUAUUUUAUUCAAUCCUGUGAUAGCAGAUAGACUGACAAGAGAGCUGGACAUAUCUUCCUCAGUUGAAAAUUAACCAUUUAGAAUUCAGCAGAGAAUCAUACUGCAAGACAGAAACCAGUAGUACCAUAAGAUUUACCAGAGAGAUAUUCUAAGCUCAAAUUUUUAUUUGGCCACUCAGUUUAGUUUACCUUGAAAUUUAUGAUAUGUCUAUAAAUUCAAAUAAAUAUUAAUGAAUUAAUGAAAAAAUGUUAGAAGGAAACCUAAAUUAUUUUUUCCUGCUAAUCAAUUUAUCAAAAACAAAAAGUAGUUAAAAAGCAAAAGAAAUUGAAUGAACCAACAGUUUGGUAAUGGAACUAUACUCUUGGGAAAUUCUGAAAUUGUAUUCUUUUGAUAUAAAUGGAAGUCUUUUGGACAAAUUCAUGAGAACCAA
Long non-coding RNA from Octopus bimaculoides (California two-spot octopus), 1296 nucleotides. RefSeq lists it as uncharacterized. The record is from RefSeq and is a predicted model, not a curated record. Lineage: Eukaryota; Metazoa; Mollusca; Cephalopoda; Octopoda; Octopodidae.